This 400-nucleotide ribosomal RNA is filed under the name uncultured bacterium. RNAcentral describes it as "bacterial SSU rRNA". It matches the Rfam family "Bacterial small subunit ribosomal RNA", at positions 355 to 746 of the family's 1533-position model. The record is from RNAcentral.
UGGGGAAUAUUGCGCAAUGGGCGAAAGCCUGACGCAGCGACGCCGCGUGAGGGAUGAAGGUUCUCGGAUCGUAAACCUCUGUCAGGGGGGAAGAAACCUCCAUGUACGAACAGUGCAUGGGAUUGACGGUACCCCCAAAGGAAGCACCGGCUAACUCCGUGCCAGCAGCCGCGGUAAUACGGAGGGUGCAAGCGUUAAUCGGAAUCACUGGGCGUAAAGCGCACGUAGGCUGCCUGGUAAGUCAGGGGUGAAAUCCCACAGCUUAACUGUGGAACUGCCUUUGAUACUGCCAGGCUUGAGUGCCGGAGAGGGUGGCGGAAUUCCAGGUGUAGGAGUGAAAUCCGUAGAUAUCUGGAGGAACACCGGUGGCGAAGGCGGCCACCUGGACGGUAACUGACGC